GAAGACUGCUCCCUAAAAAAAAUUGAAAAUUCUCAGCUGACCAUGUGUCGUGCAAUGACAGAAAUGUCAAGAUGAGGGUGAGGCAGAGGACAAGGACGCAGGAAAGGUGGUCCUGCCUGCAUCUACAGUCUGAUCAUCAGUCUUCAGCCCUAUCUGUGUUGCCAGUGUGGACAUUGAUGCAAAGACUUCAGGCUCAGAAGAUGACAGACCGUCUAUCCAGCCAUCACCCCGAGAGCUGAAGGGGUGAAAGCGGAGGCCAGUUGUGGACCAGCCUAUAAAGACAUCGCAUUGGGUGAGUCACAGUCAAACUGAUGACAGUGUGGUGUUUGCUAUUGAUUACAGUGAAGCCAAGGUUAAUGUGUAUAAAAAAUGAAGUUCCUACAUUUACUAAGUAUGUCAUCAUGACUCACGUCAUUUGCACACAUACAAUGCAUACAUGGAGCCGACUUUAUGACUACAGAUACUUCUCACUGCACAGCACGUUUCAGUAGGCCCAGAUGAACAUUUUGAUGAAGCCUGGAAGAAAACAUACUUUAGAAGUAAUACUUAAAUACAUUUCUGCCAUUUUUUUUUUUUAAAUUAACACCUCCUCGUGUCAAAGAUCUGUAAUGUUACAUGUAUGUCACACUGUUUGUUGAUGGUGAAUUUAUUCCCCAUGUGUAAAAGUUUCAAUCACUCUCCCCAGUGGGAGGUGUACUCUUAUGUUUACAUGUUUAAAUAUUAUGCAUCUCUAUUAAUGAAUGUUGACAGUUGACACUGUGGUUUUUGCAACAUUUGACUGAAAAUGACUACAGAGCAAAUCUUCGAAAAUUACAAUGAGCAAUGAGAAAGUGACAUUUUUUAGACUAACACAGUUACAUGGUUACAUACCCUUUUCAUGAAAAGCAGAGUUUUUGUGCAGUUUUGUGUGCUGCAUCUGGUUAACUAUCCCUGUUUUAUUGGAGUGAGCAUGAGAAUGCAUCAUACAGUUUGUGGAGAUCUGUUAUUUACCACAUUUGUCCUGAAUUGCUGAAACCAAACACUUUCAAUAAUCCGCUAGACCAGUGGUUCUUAACCUUGUUGGAGGUACUGAACCCCACCAGUUUCAUAUGCGCAUUCACCGAACCCCUCUUUAUUGAAAAAUAAAAUAUGAUUUUUUUCAAAUUCAAGACAUAGUUAUAUGUUUUACUGGUGUACAAAAUGAGCCGUGCAUUAACUUCACUUGUGUUCUUGUAUUCCCCAUCUCCAUGCAGCUUAAGGAAGUGUUCCUUUAGUUUUGCCGGUGCUAGACUAGAAUUGCUUAACUUGGCAUUGCAAAUCAUGCAGAUAGGACGCUGACUCCCAUCACAUUCCGUUAUACAUGUGAGUCCAUGUUGUACAUAUUCGUCCGACCACUUUCUUUUUUUGCUCAACAUAGUUAGUAUGGAUUAAAAUAUUAAGAAAGAAAUCACACAACGUACCAUCACGACAGUCACAAGUCAACUACUGAGCACACCAAAUUCCCUGCAGCACAGAUUUGGCCAAGCAAUGUAGCGUGAUCACCUGCAGCCAGUGAUGGCCAAGCGGGGCAUGUCAUCACGAAUCAUAUGAGUCGGGUGUGUGUCUUGACCUCCGUCGAACCCCUGAGACUGACUCACCGAACCCCUAGGGUUCGAUCGAACCCAGGUUGAGAACCACUGCGCUAGACCUAAAAAUUAGAAAAAAAUUGUUUGACAUGGGCAGAAUAAUUAAAAUGACUGUUGGGUUGUUAAUUCACAGAUAAUAUGUGCAAUUUUACUGACUUUUCUUAGUUAUUCAGCAAUAGAAACAGAAAACUACAAGUUUAAAUUUUUCCCCAGUGAAUAUUAGUCAAAAUGACAGAUAGACUCUGGCAUCAACCAAAGCUCUUUCAGGGUGGAGGAUGGACAAUUUAUUGACCUAAAAUCUGCUUUGUUUCAUUGUGUGUUUUAAUGCUGAGACUUUGACAAGUCUAAGAAUUUACUGAUACACUGACAGCGUUACAUCAAAGUUUGGGGUGUGUUCAAGAUAGCAGUAAUGAUGUCUAUCACUGUCAGCUGUAAUAUUAAUGUGAGGCAGACUUUGUAGGAGACAGUUCCUGUGAUUCCUAAAACAAACUUUCAAAACAUACACACGAUUCACUUCAGUUGUGUUGAUUUCAUAUCCACAGAAAAUGAAGGGAAUAUUAGAAGAAAGUUGAUAGUUGUUAACUUUGUCAUCUGACCUGACUGCUCUGACAGAGAGAUAAAAAGAACGCUUGCAGCUGAACACUGCCCUGAGUCCUAGCUACCCAUGCAUCCUGCACAUGAGUGCUUUUAGCUGCCCUCUGAGCACCAGGGACGAGGGCCAGAUUUCUGGGAGCUAAAACUGGGAAGAGGUAAGUAUUUGUGGUAUGGUCUCCUCACUACCAGAGUGGGGUCCCAGCUUGCUGGAUCCCUCUCCACAACCUGGCUCCUCCAUACCUCACUGAACUCCUGCACUGACACACUCUCACCCACACCCUCCACUCUGCUGAUGCUGGCCUCCUGUCACCCUCCAUCUGGACCAAGUACCAGACCUGGGGACAUGGAGCUUUCUCCACUUACCAGAAGCAUCAGAGAGUCCUCCUCUCACACUCCCUAUUCAAGAAAUCCAUAAGGACACAUCUUUGCAACCCUGCCUACAAGUCAUAAUCCAUUUUCCAGAUGCUGCUUCGACGUUAAAAAAAUUUUUUUUUUGAAUUUUUUUUUCUACUUUGUGAAACAUCUUUGAGUGUCUUGAAAAGCACUUUGUAAGUAUUAUAUAGGGAAAAAGAUGAGUUUCAUAUAUGCUGAUUUUAUACUUUUCAUGCUGUUGGCUGCCUGAUUGAUACUUUAAAGAUACUGUCAGCUGCCAAACAUGCUCCCUAAAAAAUACUAUUGUGUCCUUUUAUAUUAACCUAGACCAGAUUCUGCUGUGUUGUUUUCUUUGUUUUCUUGCAGCACUGAUGUUGGAUGACUCGAGGACACAAAAUAAAAAGACGACUGAAAAGAGGGCCCCGGCAGAAGAGACAAAUGAGACACAGCUCCAGAAGUCACAUGACGAUGAGGGGCUGAGUUUACCAAGUGAAUGAGCUAUUGUCUGCUUACACAAGUACUUAGUUUACAGCAUAUAGUUGUCUGUAGAAAUAUGAUUUAUGUGAGACUCAAUCAACAAUGUAUCUGUGUGUGUUUUUCCUUCACAGCCCCCUCCUAAACCCCAAACAUUUUAAAAUAGGAAGUAGGGAAGAGUCCUUAAAGAUGAAAUAGAAAAUGAGACACAUCACCCAGAUAUGAGAAGAAAUGACGUAAACUGACCCAGGAUCAGCAUAUUACAUGUCUGGCAGCUCAACUAACACCAGAUAACUUGAUGAAGUUUGCUUUCUCCAAGACCCUCAACAAUCACAAGGAUCAGAUCAGGACAGGGAGCCAGAUGAAGGACAGCCACAGGAUAGGAAUCCCCAUUUCGGAGCAUGAGAUGUGGAAAGAAUUCUUAUUAUUACAUGAAUGGAAGAAAUUGGAGCAUCUGCAGAGAACCCACCCAGGUCCAGAGAGAACAUGAACUCCACACAGACAGAACCAGCAGGAUGAAGAAACAGUGAGAGGAACCCCAGGAUGAUCAGAAAUGGAAGAAUUAUGCCAAGAUGGGACGACAAAAAGCCCCAAACAGAAAAAGAAGAGUCAGACCAAGGAAGAGAAAGAAGAACGGCUUUGACUAAUUCCAAAGCACAAACAGCUGGUGGAGAGGCUCUGCUACAUUCCAGACGUCCCUCCUACUGCCAAUGCUUUCCAGUUCUUCCUGGGGGAUCCCGAGGCAUUCACAGGCCAGACAAGAUAUAUAAUGCUUCCUGUUUUGAGUCUACUCCGUGGUCUCUUCCAAGACGGACGUGAAAGCUCCGUGAAACUAAUAGAUUGGAUCAGUGGUUCGGUUUCCCAGAGACUAUGGGUUGAGGAGGAAUUGGAAGUUUGUCGGCUUAGACCUGGUGUCAUUCCAUCAGUGUUAAACUUCCUGGCUCAUCUUGGAAGAGUACGUGCCAGAAAGACCACGACCAAGCAGCCUUGAGAUCUUAGGCAGCGUCUCCCUGAGGUCCCUCUCUAUCUCCCCACACAUCCACCAACCACUGGAACACAUCUCCAAAGUUCUGCCGGGCCAGCUCAGCUUCCCCUCAGAAGAAGUUCCACCAGAUAAAGGAGCCUUUUGAGAGGCAGCUGGCAUCGUGAUUGGACUGUACUUUGGUCUGUUCCAAUCCAGCUUCAGCUCCAGAGACGGCAGGCGAGACGAAUCAACGGAGGCCUGGUGGACGAAGGCAUGCAGCUGAGUACAAUCCAGAAAACAACAGAGGAGGAGUGCAGCGGCCCAGGGCCAGAACAACCAGAAUAGGAUAGUAUGUCUCUUAGAAAACAUCAUAGCCUUUGGUAUGAAAAAACGCCAUCAUAUACAUCGUAUAUUGUACAAAUAACAAGUCAGAGGAAAGAGACAUACAUUGUAGAAUUGUAGUAAUUGUGGGCUGACUGAUUUACUGAUUAUUAAUUUAUUUUUUACUGAUUUACGGUAAUAAAUACAUUUAAAAAUGG
Molecule: long non-coding RNA, 4547 nt
Organism: Amphiprion ocellaris (clown anemonefish)
Lineage: Eukaryota; Metazoa; Chordata; Actinopteri; Pomacentridae
Exons: 8
Source: RefSeq, a predicted model, not a curated record